RNAcentral lists this ribosomal RNA (497 nucleotides) under uncultured bacterium. Its description in RNAcentral is "partial 16S ribosomal RNA". It matches the Rfam family "Bacterial small subunit ribosomal RNA", at positions 28 to 507 of the family's 1533-position model. The record is from RNAcentral.
GAUGAACGCUGGCGGCGUGCCUAAUGCAUGCAAGUCGAGCGAACAGACGAGGAGCUUGCUCCUCUGACGUUAGCGGCGGACGGGUGAGUAACACGUGGAUAACCUACCUAUAAGACUGGGAUAACUUCGGGAAACCGGAGCUAAUACCGGAUAAUAUAUUGAACCGCAUGGUUCAAUAGUGAAAGACGGUUUUGCUGUCACUUAUAGAUGGAUCCGCGCCGCAUUAGCUAGUUGGUAAGGUAACGGCUUACCAAGGCGACGAUGCGUAGCCGACCUGAGAGGGUGAUCGGCCACACUGGAACUGAGACACGGUCCAGACUCCUACGGGAGGCAGCAGUAGGGAAUCUUCCGCAAUGGGCGAAAGCCUGACGGAGCAACGCCGCGUGAGUGAUGAAGGUCUUCGGAUCGUAAAACUCUGUUAUUAGGGAAGAACAAAUGUGUAAGUAACUAUGCGCGUCUUGACGGUACCUAAUCAGAAAGCCACGGCUAACUACGUG